This 1490-nucleotide ribosomal RNA is filed under the name uncultured bacterium. Its description in RNAcentral is "partial 16S ribosomal RNA". It matches the Rfam family "Bacterial small subunit ribosomal RNA". The record is from RNAcentral.
AGCGUUUGAUCCUGGCUCAGAUUGAACGCUGGCGGCAUGCUUUACACAUGCAAGUCGAACGGCAGCGCGGGGCAACCUGGCGGCGAGUGGCGAACGGGUGAGUAAUAUAUCGGAACGUACCCAAGAGUGGGGGAUAACGUAGCGAAAGUUACGCUAAUACCGCAUACGAUCUAAGGAUGAAAGCAGGGGAUCUUCGGACCUUGUGCUCCUGGAGCGGCCGAUAUCUGAUUAGCUAGUUGGUGAGGUAAAGGCCUACCAAGGCAUCGAUCAGUAGCUGGUCUGAGAGGACGACCAGCCACACUGGGACUGAGACACGGCCCAGACUCCUACGGGAGGCAGCAGUGGGGAAUUUUGGACAAUGGGCGCAAGCCUAAUCCAGCAAUGCCGCGUGAGUGAAGAAGGCCUUCGGGUUGUAAAGCUCUUUUGUCAGGGAAGAAACGGUGAGGGCUAAUAUCCCUUGCUAAUGACGGUACCUGAAGAAUAAGCACCGGCUAACUACGUGCCAGCAGCCGCGGUAAUACGUAGGGUGCAAGCGUUAAUCGGAAUUACUGGGCGUAAAGCGUGCGCAGGCGGUUGUGCAAGACCGAUGUGAAAUCCCCGGGCUUAACCUGGGAAUGGCAUUGGUGACUGCACGGCUAGAGUGUGUCAGAGGGGGGUAGAAUUCCACGUGUAGCAGUGAAAUGCGUAGAGAUGUGGAGGUAUACCGAUGGCGAAGGCAGCCCCCUGGGAUAACACUGACGCUCAUGCACGAAAGCGUGGGGAGCAAACAGGAUUAGAUACCCUGGUAGUCCACGCCCUAAACGAUGUCAACUAGUUGUCGGGUCUUAAUUGACUUGGUAACGCAGCUAACGCGUGAAGUUGACCGCCUGGGGAGUACGGUCGCAAGAUUAAAACUCAAAGGAAUUGACGGGGACCCGCACAAGCGGUGGAUGAUGUGGAUUAAUUCGAUGCAACGCGAAAAACCUUACCUACCCUUGACAUGGCAGGAAUCCCUGAGAGAUCAGGGAGUGCUCGAAAGAGGACCUGCACACAGGUGCUGCAUGGCUGUCGUCAGCUCGUGUCGUGAGAUGUUGGGUUAAGUCCCGCAACGAGCGCAACCCUUGUCAUUAGUUGCUACGAAAGGGCACUCUAAUGAGACUGCCGGUGACAAACCGGAGGAAGGUGGGGAUGACGUCAAGUCCUCAUGGCCCUUAUGGGUAGGGCUUCACACGUCAUACAAUGGUACAUACAGAGGGCCGCCAACCCGCGAGGGGGAGCUAAUCCCAGAAAGUGUAUCGUAGUCCGGAUUGCAGUCUGCAACUCGACUGCAUGAAGUUGGAAUCGCUAGUAAUCGCGGAUCAGCAUGUCGCGGUGAAUACGUUCCCGGGUCUUGUACACACCGCCCGUCACACCAUGGGAGCGGGUUUUACCAGAAGUAGGUAGCUUAACCGCAAGGAGGGCGCUUACCACGGUAGGAUUCGUGACUGGGGUGAAGUCGUAACAAGGUAACC